UGGCCCGUGGUGUAAUCGGUAACACACCUGGUUUUGGUACAGGCAUUCCAAGUUCAAGUCUUGGCGGGCCAG
This 72-nucleotide transfer RNA is filed under the name Phycisphaerales bacterium. RNAcentral describes it as "tRNA-Gln". It matches the Rfam family "tRNA". Rfam says of the family: Transfer RNA (tRNA) molecules are approximately 80 nucleotides in length. Their secondary structure includes four short double-helical elements and three loops (D, anti-codon, and T loops). Further hydrogen bonds mediate the characteristic L-shaped molecular structure. tRNAs have two regions of fundamental functional importance: the anti-codon, which is responsible for specific mRNA codon recognition, and the 3' end, to which the tRNAs corresponding amino acid is attached (by aminoacyl-tRNA synthetases). tRNAs cope with the degeneracy of the genetic code in two manners: having more than one tRNA (with a specific anti-codon) for a particular amino acid; and 'wobble' base-pairing, i.e. permitting non-standard base-pairing at the 3rd anti-codon position. The record is from RNAcentral. Lineage: Bacteria; Pseudomonadati; Planctomycetota; Phycisphaerae; Phycisphaerales.